UCCCACAGAUCAGGGACCUCAAAUUUCUGCUGAUGGAUCUACUGAAACAAUGGUGCUUACCACCAAACCACAGGGUGCCCAAGUAGAAAUUAACAAACUCUGCCCUAUGAGUCACCACAGAUGUUGAACAUGUGGAGUUGUUUAUUCUCAUGUCUCAAAAUGGAAAACUCCCUCAGGACUUUAUAAACAUCCAGAAGUGAAAGAAAUUUCAGAGCUGCUGUUCAACACGACAAUUCAGAUCAGGAAAAUAAAACUCUUCAAAUAUUAUCGGAGCUCUGCCCCUUACCUCUGCCUGGACUCCCGAUUGGCCAUUCACAAG
Long non-coding RNA from Sinocyclocheilus rhinocerous, 319 nucleotides. RefSeq lists it as uncharacterized. The record is from RefSeq and is a predicted model, not a curated record. The transcript is spliced from 2 exons. NCBI's taxonomy places the organism in Eukaryota, Metazoa, Chordata, Actinopteri, Cypriniformes, Cyprinidae.